Molecule: ribosomal RNA, 253 nt
Filed under: uncultured Lachnospiraceae bacterium
Lineage: Bacteria; Bacillati; Bacillota; Clostridia; Lachnospirales; Lachnospiraceae
Description: partial 16S ribosomal RNA
Rfam family: Bacterial small subunit ribosomal RNA
Source: RNAcentral
UACGUAUGGUGCAAGCGUUAUCCGGAUUUACUGGGUGUAAAGGGAGCGCAGGCGGCACGGCAAGCCUGAUGUGAAAGCCCGCAGCUCAACUGCGGGACUGCUUUUGAAACUGCCAGGCUAGAGUGUCGGAGAGGUAAGUGGAAUUCCUAGUGUAGCGGUGAAAUGCGUAGAUAUUAGGAGGAACACCAGUGGCGAAGGCGGCUUACUGGACGAUGACUGACGCUGAGGCUCGAAAGCGUGGGGAGCAAACAGG